UACGGAGGGUGCGAGCGUUUUUCGGAAUUACUGGGCGUAAAGCGCGUGUAGGCGGUUGAGCAAGGCAGAUGUGAAAGCCUUCCGCUUAACGGAAGAAGUGCAUUUGAAACUACUCGGCUGGAGUACGGGAGAGGAGAGUGGAAUUCCCGGUGUAGAGGUGAAAUUCGUAGAUAUCGGGAGGAACACCAGUGGCGAAGGCGGCUCUCUGGUCCGAUACUGACGCUGAGACGCGAAGGCGUGGGGAGCAAACAGG
This 253-nucleotide ribosomal RNA is filed under the name uncultured bacterium. RNAcentral describes it as "partial 16S ribosomal RNA". It matches the Rfam family "Bacterial small subunit ribosomal RNA", at positions 524 to 776 of the family's 1533-position model. The record is from RNAcentral.